GACGAACGCUGGCGGCGUGCUUAACACAUGCAAGUCGAACGGUGAAGCGCCUUCCUUUUUGGUGGGUGUGGAUGAGUGGCGAACGGGUGAGUAACACGUGAGUAACCUGCCCCCUUCUUCUGGAUAACCGCAUGAAAGUGUGGCUAAUACGGGAUAUUCUGGGUCUGUCGCAUGAUGGGUCUGGGAAAGAUAUUGUUUCGGUGGGGGAUGGGCUCGCGGCCUAUCAGCUUGUUGGUGGGGUGAUGGCCUACCAAGGCGGUGACGGGUAGCCGGCCUGAGAGGGUGGACGGUCACACUGGGACUGAGACACGGCCCAGACUCCGACGGGAGGCAGCAGUGGGGAAUAUUGCACAAUGGGCGCAAGCCUGAUGCAGCGACGCCGCGUGAGGGAUGGAGGCCUUCGGGUUGGGAACCUCUUUCGCCAGUGAAGCAGGCCUGCCUCGUUUGUGGGUGGGUUGACGGUAGCUGGAUAAGAAGCGCCGGCUAACUACGU
Molecule: ribosomal RNA, 493 nt
Filed under: uncultured bacterium
Lineage: Bacteria
Description: partial 16S ribosomal RNA
Rfam family: Bacterial small subunit ribosomal RNA
Source: RNAcentral